UACGAAGGGGGCUAGCGUUGCUCGGAAUCACUGGGCGUAAAGGGUGCGUAGGCGGGGUAUUAAGUCAGAGGUGAAAUCCUGGAGCUCAACUCCAGAACUGCCUUUGAUACUGAUAGUCUUGAGUAUGGGAGAGGUGAGUGGAACUGCGAGUGUAGAGGUGAAAUUCGUAGAUAUUCGCAAGAACACCAGUGGCGAAGGCGGCUCACUGGCCCAUUACUGACGCUGAGGCACGAAAGCGUGGGGAGCAAACAGG
RNAcentral lists this ribosomal RNA (253 nucleotides) under uncultured bacterium. RNAcentral's name for it is "partial 16S ribosomal RNA". It matches the Rfam family "Bacterial small subunit ribosomal RNA", at positions 524 to 776 of the family's 1533-position model. The record is from RNAcentral.